This 1454-nucleotide ribosomal RNA is filed under the name Halorubrum sp. Q2. Its description in RNAcentral is "bacterial SSU rRNA". It matches the Rfam family "Archaeal small subunit ribosomal RNA". RNAcentral also lists the same sequence under 1 other name. Lineage: Archaea; Methanobacteriati; Methanobacteriota; Halobacteria; Halobacteriales; Haloferacaceae. The record is from RNAcentral.
UUUGAUCCUGCCGGAGGCCAUUGCUAUUGGGAUCCGAUUUAGCCAUGCUAGUCGCACGAGUUCAGACUCGUGGCGAAUAGCUCAGUAACACGUGGCCAAACUACCCUUCGGAACACAAUACCCUCGGGAAACUGAGGCUAAUAGUGUAUCCCAUACCACCACUGGAAUGAGUGGUAUGCCAAACGCUCCGGCGCCGAAGGAUGUGGCUGCGGCCGAUUAGGUAGACGGUGGGGUAACGGCCCACCGUGCCAAUAAUCGGUAUGGGUCAUGAGAGUGAGAACCCAGAGACGGAAUCUGAGACAAGAUUCCGGGCCCUACGGGGCGCAGCAGGCGCGAAACCUUUACACUGCACGACAGUGCGAUAGGGGGAUCCCAAGUGCACAGGCAUAGCGCCUGUGCUUUUCGGCACCCUAAGGCGGUGCCAGAAUAAGGGCUGGGCAAGACCGGUGCCAGCCGCCGCGGUAAUACCGGCAGCCCAAGUGAUGGCCGAUCUUAUUGGGCCUAAAGCGUCCGUAGCUGGCCGCGCAAGUCCAUCGGGAAAUCCACCUGCUCAACAGGUGGGCGCCCGGUAGAAACUGCGUGGCUUGGGACCGGAAGGCGCGACGGGUACGUCCGGGGUAGGAGUGAAAUCCCGUAAUCCUGGACGGACCGCCGAUGGCGAAAGCACGUCGCGAGAACGGAUCCGACAGUGAGGGACGAAAGCCAGGGUCUCGAACCGGAUUAGAUACCCGGGUAGUCCUGGCCGUAAACAAUGUCUGCUAGGUGUGGCUCCCACUACGAGUGGGUGCUGUGCCGUAGGGAAGCCGCUAAGCAGACCGCCUGGGAAGUACGUCCGCAAGGAUGAAACUUAAAGGAAUUGGCGGGGGAGCACUACAACCGGAGGAGCCUGCGGUUUAAUUGGACUCAACGCCGGACAUCUCACCAGCAUCGACUGUGGUAAUGACGAUCAGGUUGAUGACCUUAUCCGAGCCUCAGAGAGGAGGUGCAUGGCCGCCGUCAGCUCGUACCGUGAGGCGUCCUGUUAAGUCAGGCAACGAGCGAGACCCGCACCCUUACUUGCCAGCAGUACCGCGAGGUAGCUGGGGACAGUAGGGGGACCGCCGUGGCUAACACGGAGGAAGGAACGGGCAACGGUAGGUCAGUAUGCCCCGAAUGUGCUGGGCAACACGCGGGCUACAAUGGUCGAGACAAAGGGUUCCUACUCCGAAAGGAGACGGUAAUCUCAGAAACUCGAUCGUAGUUCGGAUUGUGGGCUGCAACUCGCCCACAUGAAGCUGGAUUCGGUAGUAAUCGCGUGUCACAAGCGCGCGGUGAAUACGUCCCUGCUCCUUGCACACACCGCCCGUCAAAGCACCCGAGUGAGGUCCGGAUGAGGCGUUCCACGAACGUCGAAUCUGGGCUUCGCAAGGGGGCUUAAGUCGUAACAAGGUAGCCGUAGGGGAAUCUGCGGCUGG